ACCAGGGUUACAAAUCCCACUACUCAAUCUCCUACAACUCCCAUUUGAUAGACUCUUAUAUACGGUAUCAGCAGAAUCUUCGAAAAGGUUGAAUGAGGGGGAGCGGCGAGCGAGCCAAGCAACAAGUUUGACGCCAUAAGAGCGACCCAUUAGGUGGUGGCUUUUUAGGGUUUUCCUGGAAUUUUACUGUCUCUGAAUAACAAAAGAGAAAGAUGGGUUCUAGCGUAGGAGUAAGGUAGUUUGGGGUUUAAACCCAGGAAAAACCCUAAAACCUCUGUUAGAGAUUAGAAGGUUCUAGUUACG
This 303-nucleotide unclassified non-coding RNA is filed under the name Hevea brasiliensis (rubber tree). The record is from RNAcentral. Lineage: Eukaryota; Viridiplantae; Streptophyta; Magnoliopsida; Malpighiales; Euphorbiaceae.